Balaenoptera musculus (blue whale) is the source of this 78-nucleotide small nucleolar RNA. Ensembl annotates it as small nucleolar RNA, C/D box 113-5. Its record names the gene SNORD113-5. The record is from Ensembl. Lineage: Eukaryota; Metazoa; Chordata; Mammalia; Artiodactyla; Balaenopteridae.
UGGGUCGAUGUUGGGUAUUGGUGGAGGUAUCUGAGUCAAUAACUUUGAUUAAGCGCUCUGUGUAACUUUGAGGUCCAC